Non-coding RNA from Eumeta japonica, 115 nucleotides. The record is from the annotation of a GenBank genome assembly. NCBI's taxonomy places the organism in Eukaryota, Metazoa, Arthropoda, Insecta, Lepidoptera, Psychidae.
ACGCCCAUACCACAUUGAAUAGACCGGUUCUUAUCCUAUCACCGAAGUUAAGCAGCGUCAGGCACGGUCAGUACUAUUUGGAUGGUAGAUCGCCUGGGAACACGACGUGAUGUUG